CAGGAACUAGAAUGGCAGAAAGUGGUAGUGGUUGUAAUGACUUUCUAGGACUUCUAGGACAAUAUCGAGCAAUUUCGAAUAAAUUGAAGAAGCGAUUUCUUAGAAAACCAAAUGUAACUGAAGCGAGUGACCAGUUUGGGUAAACUUGCCCUUCAGUGUGAGCGUGAGGAACUACCACAGUACGCAGGGUUGUGUUGGGUGGCAGCUGCCAGGUGUGGAAGUUACUUAGGAAAUGGUUCUGGCGAAGCAUGGGACGUAGUUCGUGCGGGAAGACAAUUUUUGACAGAAAUUAGUGUGAAAGACCUAGAUUGUCCAAGUCCUGGCGGUGAACAUGUGCAGGUAAUAUGAAUAUGUUUUACAUCAGAAAUAUUUCCUGUUUACUUGAAAUAAAAGUAAGGUUAGGAUCGACUCCCUCAGGUCAGUGUUGAAUUCUGUAUGUUAUGUUAACUCAAUGAGGAAUGAAUUAGUGAUAAAUGUUGUAGUCAACCCUUGAUAUAGUGCAGGUUUCAGGGGACAGCUUAAAUACCCCAAUUAUAUGUUAAACUGCUGUUUAUCUGAUUUUGGAAUCCCUGAUAUGUAUAUUUGGCCCAUGACAAAAAUAUGUGAAAUUUAAGGUACGUUUCAGAGGUAUGUUUCACCAAUGCUGCUGGCCCAGACCAGUAGAUUACUUACAUUUAUAUCUUCUUAGAAAAGUCAUAUUAGAGUAAACAGAAUCAUACUUUUUCAUAGCAAAUUAUGGAUCUUACCCUCUGUACCCACACACUAUAGCAAGGAAUAUUGUACUCUCAUAAUAUAAUCAGAACAAUUCAUAGAAGUGUGGACGAUGUGAAAUAUGUGUAGUCAUAUUGGAGGACAUCAUCUCCACUGCAAUAUACCUGAAGGUAAAGUUAUCCCUCUGCUUAACUGAAUAAGCACUAUGGUAUUAAGGUGUAUGGGGAAGUGGA
Cryptotermes secundus is the source of this 944-nucleotide long non-coding RNA. RefSeq lists it as uncharacterized. The transcript has 3 exons. The record is from RefSeq and is a predicted model, not a curated record. Lineage: Eukaryota; Metazoa; Arthropoda; Insecta; Blattodea; Kalotermitidae.